Lycium barbarum (goji berry) is the source of this 97-nucleotide small nucleolar RNA. RefSeq annotates it as small nucleolar RNA snoR136. Lineage: Eukaryota; Viridiplantae; Streptophyta; Magnoliopsida; Solanales; Solanaceae. The transcript has a single exon. The record is from RefSeq and is a predicted model, not a curated record.
AGUUCAUUUGCAAAGCUACAACUGAAGCUAGAAAGAUUGUUCCUCUCGCUAUCCUUUGCUCCUUUGUGGUGUAUUUGGACGUCGGGGAACUACAUUA